UUAAGCGACUAAGCGUACACGGUGGAUGCCCUGGCAGUCAGAGGCGAUGAAGGACGUGCUAAUCUGCGAUAAGCGUCGGUAAGGCGAUAUGAACCGUUAUAACCGGCGAUUUCCGAAUGGGGAAAGCCAGUGUGAUUCGUCACACUAUCAUUAACUGAAUCCAUAGGUUAAUGAGGCGAACCGGGGGAACUGAAACAUCUAAGUACCCCGAGGAAAAGAAAUCAACCGAGAUUCCCCCAGUAGCGGCGAGCGAACGGGGAGCAGCCCAGAGCCUGAAUCAGUGUGUGUGUUAGUGGAAGCGUCUGGAAAGGCGUGCGAUACAGGGUGACAGCCCCGUACACAAAAAUGCACAUACUGUGAGCUCGAUGAGUAGGGCGGGACACGUGGUAUCCUGUCUGAAUAUGGGGGGACCAUCCUCCAAGGCUAAAUACUCCUGACUGACCGAUAGUGAACCAGUACCGUGAGGGAAAGGCGAAAAGAACCCCGGCGAGGGGAGUGAAAAAGAACCUGAAACCGUGUACGUACAAGCAGUGGGAGCACGCUUAGGCGUGUGACUGCGUACCUUUUGUAUAAUGGGUCAGCGACUUAUAUUCUGUAGCAAGGUUAACCGAAUAGGGGAGCCGAAGGGAAACCGAGUCUUAACUGGGCGUUAAGUUGCAGGGUAUAGACCCGAAACCCGGUGAUCUAGCCAUGGGCAGGUUGAAGGUUGGGUAACACUAACUGGAGGACCGAACCGACUAAUGUUGAAAAAUUAGCGGAUGACUUGUGGCUGGGGGUGAAAGGCCAAUCAAACCGGGAGAUAGCUGGUUCUCCCCGAAAGCUAUUUAGGUAGCGCCUCGUGAAUUCAUCUCCGGGGGUAGAGCACUGUUUCGGCAAGGGGGUCAUCCCGACUUACCAACCCGAUGCAAACUGCGAAUACCGGAGAAUGUUAUCACGGGAGACACACGGCGGGUGCUAACGUCCGUCGUGAAGAGGGAAACAACCCAGACCGCCAGCUAAGGUCCCAAAGUCAUGGUUAAGUGGGAAACGAUGUGGGAAGGCCCAGACAGCCAGGAUGUUGGCUUAGAAGCAGCCAUCAUUUUAAAGAAAGCGUAAUAGCUCACUGGUCGAGUCGGCCUGCGCGGAAGAUGUAACGGGGCUAAACCAUGCACCGAAGCUGCGGCAGCGACGCUUAUGCGUUGUUGGGUAGGGGAGCGUUCUGUAAGCCUGUGAAGGUGUACUGUGAGGUAUGCUGGAGGUAUCAGAAGUGCGAAUGCUGACAUAAGUAACGAUAAAGCGGGUGAAAAGCCCGCUCGCCGGAAGACCAAGGGUUCCUGUCCAACGUUAAUCGGGGCAGGGUGAGUCGACCCCUAAGGCGAGGCCGAAAGGCGUAGUCGAUGGGAAACAGGUUAAUAUUCCUGUACUUGGUGUUACUGCGAAGGGGGGACGGAGAAGGCUAUGUUGGCCGGGCGACGGUUGUCCCGGUUUAAGCGUGUAGGCUGGUUUUCCAGGCAAAUCCGGAAAAUCAAGGCCGAGGCGUGAUGACGAGGCACUACGGUGCUGAAGCAACAAAUGCCCUGCUUCCAGGAAAAGCCUCUAAGCAUCAGGUAACAUCAAAUCGUACCCCAAACCGACACAGGUGGUCAGGUAGAGAAUACCAAGGCGCUUGAGAGAACUCGGGUGAAGGAACUAGGCAAAAUGGUGCCGUAACUUCGGGAGAAGGCACGCUGAUACGUAGGUGAAGCGACUUGCUCGUGGAGCUGAAAUCAGUCGAAGAUACCAGCUGGCUGCAACUGUUUAUUAAAAACACAGCACUGUGCAAACACGAAAGUGGACGUAUACGGUGUGACGCCUGCCCGGUGCCGGAAGGUUAAUUGAUGGGGUUAGCGCAAGCGAAGCUCUUGAUCGAAGCCCCGGUAAACGGCGGCCGUAACUAUAACGGUCCUAAGGUAGCGAAAUUCCUUGUCGGGUAAGUUCCGACCUGCACGAAUGCGUAAUGAUGGCCAGGCUGUCUCCACCCGAGACUCAGUGAAAUUGAACUCGCUGUGAAGAUGCAGUGUACCCGCGGCAAGACGGAAAGACCCCGUGAACCUUUACUAUAGCUUGACACUGAACAUUGAGCCUUGAUGUGUAGGAUAGGUGGGAGGCUUUGAAGUGUGGACGCCAGUCUGCAUGGAGCCGACCUUGAAAUACCACCCUUUAAUGUUUGAUGUUCUAACGUGGACCCGUGAUCCGGGUUGCGGACAGUGUCUGGUGGGUAGUUUGACUGGGGCGGUCUCCUCCUAAAGAGUAACGGAGGAGCACGAAGGUUGGCUAAUCCUGGUCGGACAUCAGGAGGUUAGUGCAAUGGCAUAAGCCAGCUUGACUGCGAGCGUGACGGCGCGAGCAGGUGCGAAAGCAGGUCAUAGUGAUCCGGUGGUUCUGAAUGGAAGGGCCAUCGCUCAACGGAUAAAAGGUACUCCGGGGAUAACAGGCUGAUACCGCCCAAGAGUUCAUAUCGACGGCGGUGUUUGGCACCUCGAUGUCGGCUCAUCACAUCCUGGGGCUGAAGUAGGUCCCAAGGGUAUGGCUGUUCGCCAUUUAAAGUGGUACGCGAGCUGGGUUUAGAACGUCGUGAGACAGUUCGGUCCCUAUCUGCCGUGGGCGCUGGAGAACUGAGGGGGGCUGCUCCUAGUACGAGAGGACCGGAGUGGACGCAUCACUGGUGUUCGGGUUGUCAUGCCAAUGGCACUGCCCGGUAGCUAAAUGCGGAAGAGAUAAGUGCUGAAAGCAUCUAAGCACGAAACUUGCCCCGAGAUGAGUUCUCCCUGACCCUUUAAGGGUCCUGAAGGAACGUUGAAGACGACGACGUUGAUAGGCCGGGUGUGUAAGCGCAGCGAUGCGUUGAGCUAACCGGUACUAAUGAACCGUGAGGCUUAACCUU
RNAcentral lists this ribosomal RNA (2902 nucleotides) under Shigella flexneri SFJ17B. Its description in RNAcentral is "bacterial LSU rRNA". It matches the Rfam family "Bacterial large subunit ribosomal RNA". Lineage: Bacteria; Pseudomonadati; Pseudomonadota; Gammaproteobacteria; Enterobacterales; Enterobacteriaceae. The record is from RNAcentral.